AAAGGUAUAGCUCAAGUGGUAGAGCAUAUGCUUAGUGUGCACAAAAGUCCUGGGUUCAAUCCCAGUACCUCCU
Molecule: transfer RNA, 73 nt
Filed under: Camelus bactrianus (Bactrian camel)
Lineage: Eukaryota; Metazoa; Chordata; Mammalia; Artiodactyla; Camelidae
Also listed under: 2 other names
Rfam family: tRNA
About the family: Transfer RNA (tRNA) molecules are approximately 80 nucleotides in length. Their secondary structure includes four short double-helical elements and three loops (D, anti-codon, and T loops). Further hydrogen bonds mediate the characteristic L-shaped molecular structure. tRNAs have two regions of fundamental functional importance: the anti-codon, which is responsible for specific mRNA codon recognition, and the 3' end, to which the tRNAs corresponding amino acid is attached (by aminoacyl-tRNA synthetases). tRNAs cope with the degeneracy of the genetic code in two manners: having more than one tRNA (with a specific anti-codon) for a particular amino acid; and 'wobble' base-pairing, i.e. permitting non-standard base-pairing at the 3rd anti-codon position.
Source: Rfam by way of RNAcentral